RNAcentral lists this long non-coding RNA (731 nucleotides) under Mytilus galloprovincialis (Mediterranean mussel). The record is from RNAcentral. Lineage: Eukaryota; Metazoa; Mollusca; Bivalvia; Mytilida; Mytilidae.
CAUUGUUAAUAAAUGAGACCUGACUCAUGGCGUAACAUAGGACGUCGAUUUUGGCGUUAACAUAUUGGACACGGACUUAAUAAUAUGAUUAUACAUUGGACGUCAAUUUGAGAAACGGGCGUCGAUUUGAGACCGGAUCAUAGCUGAAUGAACCUCAGAUUCAAUGUUCAGCUACUGCUAUUACAAAAAAAAGAUUACAGCGCAAUGAUUUAAAAGUAGUAACCAUUAUGAGGUGUAUAAGUUCGUCAGGCAGGCCUAUCUGAUGUUGUACUCAUUUAAUGAAUCAGUGAUCAGUAUUGAUUAACGUAGGAUUUUGUGGCCGAGUACCUUUUUUUUUAAACAUGGAAAAAAAAGAAAUAUAAUGUGAGUUGUGAUUAUUUUUAGAGAUGAUCGUAAGCUAGGUUGAAUUAACAUGUUCAUCACAUUUAUUGUUCAUCGAUCAUAAUUUCAGGUUCAUGUUACAUGUAAGUUCGAUAAAAUUAUAAAAAAAAACGACUAAGCAUAAAAAAGAACGAGAAACGACAAAAAGGUACCUAACAUUGCACAAAAUCCAUCAUAAAUACGCAAAGACUGAACAACACAUACCCCACCGAGAAUGGGGGUGAUAUCAGAUGUGCAGAUGUUUCGAUUAAUAUCAGUCAGAAGUCAUUUGUAUAUAUACUAACAAUCUUUAUUUUUCAUAUAAGUAACAUUAUACUUGUGACAUAAACAAAAAUAACAACAACAAAAAA